CAGAUUUUCACAUUACCAACAACACCAGAAAACCAAUACUAAUUCAUUCCAGGGAAUUCAACGUCCUCACUUUCCCAACUUUUCCAUCCCAGAAAGGAAGUUGAACAAGUAUAAAAGACAAAGAAGGUUAGCACAGGUAAUCAGCAUUCUGGGCUUGCUACCAAAAGUGUUCAAAAAAUAUUAACCCUCCAACUCCAGCCAGUAGUAAACAGGAAUGUGGCACAAUGAUGUAGACAACACAAUAGAAUUAAAAUCCAACUGCCUACCCAAUAAAAAUGACAUUAAAGUUUGAUGAAUCUCACACAACCAACCAAACUCACCCCCAUUACCAUUGCAUAUAUUAAUGUUAUACUAAGGUCAGUAAUCAAAUUUAGCAAUCAAGAAAUGAGAAUGGGAAUAGUCCCUCUUCGUAAUUUCAUAUCUCAUGCACAAGCUACAUAUACAGAUGAAAAUCAAGUAAUGAAAUUUCUUAUUUUCACUCGAGUUUACAAGUUAACAAAUAUACCAAUGCAAGAGAAAUGAAUGCCUAUACUCGGUUCAAGAAACCCAGUAGAGCCUAUACUCGGCUCAAGAAACCCAGUAGAGCUUUAAACAAAAAGACAAGUUAGACAACUCAGUAACUAAAUAUAGAAAGAAAACAUAUACUCACCAGAAGGCUUAUUAGAAGAGAAAA
RNAcentral lists this unclassified non-coding RNA (673 nucleotides) under Hevea brasiliensis (rubber tree). The record is from RNAcentral. Lineage: Eukaryota; Viridiplantae; Streptophyta; Magnoliopsida; Malpighiales; Euphorbiaceae.